AACGCACCUUGCGCUCCUUGGUAUUCCGAGGAGCAUGCCUGUUUGAGUGUCAUGAAUUCUCAACCUUCAACACUUUAUUGUGUUGCUUGAGGUUGGUCCUUGAGUGUUUGCGGACUGUAACAGGCCCGCUCACUUUAAAUGUAUUAGCUGGACCGCAUCUACGAUGCUCGGGUUACUACUCAACGUGAUAAGUUUCAACGUUGAGGAUGGCGCAAGCCAGCCUGACAUCGAUGCACAUGUCUGCUUCUAACCCGGCGACGACAGGCAACUGUCCGACCCACACUUAAUGCUCUGGCCUCAAAUCAGGUAGGAUUACCCGCUGAACUUAA
This 329-nucleotide unclassified non-coding RNA is filed under the name uncultured Exobasidiomycetes. RNAcentral's name for it is "sequence contains ITS2". The stretch from base 1 to 52 matches the Rfam family "5.8S ribosomal RNA", at positions 103 to 154 of the family's 154-position model. Lineage: Eukaryota; Fungi; Basidiomycota; Exobasidiomycetes. The record is from RNAcentral.